Molecule: ribosomal RNA, 723 nt
Filed under: uncultured eukaryote
Lineage: Eukaryota
Description: SSU rRNA
Rfam family: Eukaryotic small subunit ribosomal RNA
Source: RNAcentral
GGUAUCGCCGUUAGUCAUGUGCAAAUAUGGAUAGCUGUUUUAGCCGUCUUUAUUGACUGGUUUAUAAGAGUUAUCAGAUAUCACUUUGAUUAAAUUAGAGUGCUUAAAGCAAGUGUGUUACUUGGAUAUAAAUGCAUGGAAUGAUGGAAUAUGUUGUUAUUCUAUUUGUUGGUUUUUGAAUGAUAAAAUGAUUGAAAGGAACUGUUGGGGGCAUUCGUAUUGUUGUGAGAGAGGUGAAAUUCUUAGACCACAGCAAGACGAACUACUGCGAAAGCAUUUGCCAAGAAUGUUUUCAUUGAUCAAGAACGAAAGUUAGAGGUUCGAAGGCGAUCAGAUACCGCCCUAGUUCUAACCAUAAACUAUGCCAACUAGCAAUUUGCUUUGUAUUUUUUAUGACUAAGUGAGAGGCCACGGGAAACCUAAGUAGGGUUAUGGGGGAAGUAUGGUUGCAAAGCUGAAACUUAAAGGAAUUGACGGAAGGGCACCACCAGGAGUGGAGCCUGCGGCUUAAUUUGACUCAACACGGGAAAACUUACCUGGUCCUGACACUAGAAGGAUUGACAGAUUGAUAGCUCUUUCUUGAUUUGGUGGAUGGUGGUGCAUGGCCGUUCUUAGUUGGUGGAGUGAUUUGUCUGGUUAAUUCCGAUAACGAACGAGACUCUAGCCUAUUAAAUAAUACACGGAAUUUUAUCUUCCGCGGUAUUUCUUAGUGGGAUCAAGCGU